RNAcentral lists this ribosomal RNA (468 nucleotides) under uncultured bacterium. RNAcentral describes it as "partial 16S ribosomal RNA". It matches the Rfam family "Bacterial small subunit ribosomal RNA", at positions 28 to 507 of the family's 1533-position model. The record is from RNAcentral.
GACGAACGCUGGCGGCGUGCUUAACACAUGCAAGUCGAACGGAAAGGCCCUGCUUUUGUGGGGUGCUCGAGUGGCGAACGGGUGAGUAAAACGUGAGUAAACUGCCCUUGACUUUGGGAUAACUUCAGGAAAAUGGGGCUAAUAUCGGAUAGGAGCUCCUGCUGCAUGGUGGGGGAUGGAAAGUUUCGGCGGUGGGGGAUGGACUCGCGGCUUAUCAGCUUGUUGGUGGGGUAGUGGCUUACCAAGGCUUUGACGGGUAGCCGGCCUGAGAGGGUGACCGGCCACAUUGGGACUGAGAUACGGCCCAGACUCCUACGGGAGGCAGCAGUGGGGAAUAUUGCACAAUGGGCGGAAGCCUGAUGCAGCAACGCCGCGUGCGGGAUGACGGCCUUCGGGUUGUAAACCGCUUUCGCCUGUGACGAAGCGUGAGUGACGGUAAUGGGUAAAGAAGCACCGGCUAACUACGUG